CUUUUAUGGAGAGUUUGAUCUUGGCUCAGGACGAACGCUGGCGGCGUGCCUAAUACAUGCAAGUCGAGCGCGGGAAGCAAGCAGAUCUCCUUCGGGAGUGACGC
Molecule: ribosomal RNA, 104 nt
Filed under: Virgibacillus sp.
Lineage: Bacteria; Bacillati; Bacillota; Bacilli; Caryophanales; Bacillaceae
Description: partial 16S ribosomal RNA
Rfam family: Bacterial small subunit ribosomal RNA
Source: RNAcentral